Molecule: ribosomal RNA, 253 nt
Filed under: uncultured bacterium
Lineage: Bacteria
Description: partial 16S ribosomal RNA
Rfam family: Bacterial small subunit ribosomal RNA
Source: RNAcentral
UACGGGGGGAGCAAGCGUUGUUCGGAUUUACUGGGCGUAAAGGGCGCGUAGGCGGCGCAACAAGUCACUUGUGAAAUCUCCGGGCUUAACCCGGAGCGGCCAAGUGAUACUGUCGUGCUAGAGUGCGGAAGGGGCUACUGGAAUUCUCGGUGUAGCGGUGAAAUGCGUAGAUAUCGAGAGGAACACCUGCGGCGAAGGCGGGUUGCUGGGCCGACACUGACGCUGAAGCGCGAAAGCUAGGGGAGCGAACGGG